GACGAACGCUGGCGGCGUGCUUAACACAUGCAAGUCGAACGGUAAGGCCCUUCGGGGUACACGAGCGGCGAACGGGUGAGUAACACGUGGGUGAUCUGCCCUGCACUUCGGGAUAAGCCUGGGAAACUGGGGCUAAUACCGGAUAGGACCACUGCCUGCAUGGGUGGUGGUGGAAAGCUUUUGCGGUGUGGGAUGGGCCCGCGGCCUAUCAGCUUGUUGGUGGGGUGAUGGCCUACCAAGGCGACGACGGGUAGCCGGCCUGAGAGGGUGACCGGCCACACUGGGACUGGGAUACGGCCCAGACUCCUACGGGAGGCAGCAGUGGGGAAUAUUGCACAAUGGGCGCAAGCCUGAUGCAGCGACGCCGCGUGAGGGAUGACGGCCUUCGGGUUGUAAACCUCUUUCAGCACCGACGAAGCGCAAGUGACGGUAGGUGCAGAAGAAGGACCGGCCAACUACGUGCCAGCCGCCGCAGUAA
RNAcentral lists this ribosomal RNA (478 nucleotides) under uncultured bacterium. RNAcentral describes it as "partial 16S ribosomal RNA". It matches the Rfam family "Bacterial small subunit ribosomal RNA", at positions 28 to 523 of the family's 1533-position model. The record is from RNAcentral.